CACACGCGAUCAUCUCUGGAGCGCUCACUUGGUGCCAGGCGCUCUGCUCUGCCCCUUGCAAGGACCGCGGGGUCUGAUCCUCAGCACAGCCCUGGGUGCGGGAGUCAUCAGCCUGAAGAAGUGGGUGCCACGACCCAAAAUAAGGAAGGAAGGGAGGGGCCUCCUGGGCCUGCCCUCCAAGGAUGUGCCCAGUGUUGUGACUCAGCAGCCACCUCCUUUCCUGGAUGGGGGGUACAAGGGCAGGUUGGUCAUCUUCGCCCUUGGACAAUCUCUUAUCAUGGUGCCUGGGGACCUGUGACCUACGGCCGGCCAGUCAGAAGUUCUGGUGGCCUGGGACUUGCUAGUGCACCUGCAGCGGGGGCACCUUGUGGGACUGAGCCCUGAAGGCUGCAGGGUCUGCCCCUCACUCCAGGGGCCCAAAUGGACACCUCGGACUUGGGGGAGCCCUAACAGACAGGCUGACACCCUCCUGGAACAGAGAUGAAUGCAAAUUGAUGCUUUCUUCAUGGCUGGUGCAAAGAUAAAGUUCAGAAAUGCUGUUAUAAUGACUACAGAUUCCCAGUAAUUGAGGCUAAUGUAUUCAACAAAUGCA
This is a long non-coding RNA of Lemur catta (Ring-tailed lemur), 592 nucleotides long. RefSeq lists it as uncharacterized. The transcript is spliced from 3 exons. The record is from RefSeq and is a predicted model, not a curated record. NCBI's taxonomy places the organism in Eukaryota, Metazoa, Chordata, Mammalia, Primates, Lemuridae.